RNAcentral lists this ribosomal RNA (492 nucleotides) under uncultured bacterium. RNAcentral describes it as "partial 16S ribosomal RNA". It matches the Rfam family "Bacterial small subunit ribosomal RNA", at positions 29 to 507 of the family's 1533-position model. The record is from RNAcentral.
AUUGAACGCUGGCGGCAUGCUUUACACAUGCAAGUCGAACGGUAACAGGCCUUCGGGUGCUGACGAGUGGCGCACGGGUGAGUAAUGCAUCGGAACGUACCCAGAGGUGGGGGAUAACGCAGCGAAAGCUGUGCUAAUACCGCAUGUGAUCUGAGGAUGAAAGCGGGGGACCGAGCAGCAAUGUUUGGCCUCGCGCCUUUGGAGCGGCCGAUGUCGGAUUAGCUAGUUGGUGGGGUAAAGGCCUACCAAGGCGACGAUCCGUAGCUGGUCUGAGAGGACGACCAGCCACACUGGGACUGAGACACGGCCCAGACUCCUACGGGAGGCAGCAGUGGGGAAUUUUGGACAAUGGGCGCAAGCCUGAUCCAGCAAUGCCGCGUGCGGGAAGAAGGCCUUCGGGUUGUAAACCGCUUUUGGCAGGAACGAAGCGGUGUCCGCUAAUACCGGGCGCUAAUGACGGUACCUGCAGAAUAAGCACCGGCUAACUACGUG